GAAAUUCCAAUUAAAAUUUCUAAUUCGGUUAGUUGUUAAAAUUGUUAAUUUUGUUGAUGGUUAAUUUGUUGAAUGUUCUAUCCUGCGGACAGACGCGAACGGCUGAGUAACACGUAAGGACUUGCCUCUUGGUGUGGAAUAGCCCAUCGAAAGAUGGGGUAAUACCGCAUGAGGCUCGUACUUCGUACGAGAUUUUCCAUUUUCGAAUUUAACAUUUUCCAUUGAAUUUUCGAUUGAUCAAUUUUUAAAUUGAAAAAUAAAAUGAUAGAUGGCAAAUGAUUAAAUGGACGAUUUCGCACGGAGUGCGAGUUAAAGGACGUAACUGUCCGCCGAGAGAGAGUCUUGCGGCCUAUCAGCUAGUUGGUAGGGUAACGGCCUACCAAGGCUACGACGGGUAGGGGGAGUGAGAGCUCGAACCCCCAGAAUGGCACUGAGAUACGGGCCAUACACCUACGGGUGGCGCAACCGGGAAUCGUGCGCAAUGGACGAAAGUCUGACGCCGCGACGCCGCGUGAAGGAUGAAGGCCUUCGGGUCGUAAACUUCUUUUGCCAAGCGGGAGACUUCUUGGCGAAUAAGCACCGGCUAACUCCGUGCCAGCAGCAGCGGUAAUACGGAGGGUGCUAGCGUUAUCCGGAUUUAUUGGGCGUAAAGAGUUCGUAGGCGCCCCGUCGCAUCUUGUUUUAAAUCCCAGGGCUUAACUCUGGAAAGGGACAAGAGAUGGACGGGGUUGAAAGGUUCCGGGGCUACUGGAACUCACGGUGUAGGAGUGAAAUCCGUUGAUAUCGUGAGGAACACCGAGGGCGAAGGCAGGUAGCUAGGAAACCUUUGACGCUGAGGAACGAAAGCUAGGGGAGCGAAAGGGAUUAGAGACCCCUGUAGUCCUAGCCGUAAACGAUGCUCGCUAGCGGUGUGCCCCGCAAAGGAUAUAUCCUUUGGAACUGUUAACUUUUAACAAAAUUGACAAAUUAACUAAGAGAUUUUUCCUCGUUAAUGGUUAACUGUUAAUUUGUUAAUUGUUCGCAAAAAAAUGGAUACAUUUUUUGUGGGGUGCGUCGCGUAAGCUAACGCGUUAAGCGAGCCGCCUGGGGAGUACGAACGCAAGUUUAAAACUCAAAGGAAUUGACGGGGACCCGCACAACCAGUGGAGCAUGUGGUUUAAUUCGAGACGAACCGAAGGACCUUACCCAGGUUUGACAUGCUAUCGUUUAGUUUUGCAGAAAUGUGAGACGAUCCGCAAUUUGUGGAUGAUAGCACAGGUGUUGCAUGGCUGUCGUCAGCUCGUGCCGUGGGGUGUUCCCUUCAGUGGGGUAACGAGCGCAACCCCUGUCGUAUGUUAAAUUUAUCAUACGAGACUACUCAAUUUAUUUGGGAGGAAGUGGGGACGACGUCAAGUCAGCAUGGCCCUUAUAUCUGGGGCGACACACAUGCUACAAUGAAGCCGACAAAGGGUUGCCAAGUGGUAACACGGAGCUAAUCCCAUCAAACGGCUUCUCAGUGGGGAUUGAGGGCUGAAACUCGCCCUCAUGAACGCGGAAUUGGUAGUAAUCGCAGAUCAGCUAAGCUGCGGUGAAUACGUUCUCGGGUCUUGUACACACCGCCCGUCAAGUCAGCAAAGUUGGGAGCACCCGAAGUCCGAUGGUUAUCGGACGAAGGUGAGACCAGCGAUGAGGAUUAAGUCGUAACAAGGUAUCCGUUCUGGAAGGAGCGGAUGGAUCACCUCCUUU
Non-coding RNA from Candidatus Woesebacteria bacterium, 1725 nucleotides. NCBI's taxonomy places the organism in Bacteria, Candidatus Woeseibacteriota. The record is from Rfam.